GAUAAGAAAAGGAAGACUUAGAGAACCUUAUCUGUCGCUCGUUCACAUAUAGGUACUAUGUACUAAUAGUUUGGUUACGAAAUGGAUGUUUCGAAAGGUUGGCUCAUACUGACACUGUUCUGUGGAUACCUUACUGGUGUCUGGUCCAUAGCCUGUUUAGACUGUGGGAAUGGCGUAGAAUCGCUGUCACAAUGCAACACAUUCAAGGAAUGUGGACCAACUGAGGCGUGCUACAUAGAGAGAUAUAUAAACCUUGGCUCAGGAGUUCAGCAGUACAAAGCAGGAUGCCGGGAUGUGGAG
This is a long non-coding RNA of Mya arenaria, 300 nucleotides long. RefSeq lists it as uncharacterized. The transcript has 4 exons. The record is from RefSeq and is a predicted model, not a curated record. NCBI's taxonomy places the organism in Eukaryota, Metazoa, Mollusca, Bivalvia, Myida, Myidae.